Herpailurus yagouaroundi (jaguarundi) is the source of this 3119-nucleotide long non-coding RNA. RefSeq lists it as uncharacterized. Lineage: Eukaryota; Metazoa; Chordata; Mammalia; Carnivora; Felidae. The transcript has 2 exons. The record is from RefSeq and is a predicted model, not a curated record.
UGUGGCACGAGAAUGCCCCCCAGGGGUCUGUGGGGUAGCUCAGCUCUAUUGUACCAGGCCCAGGAGCAUUGGAAACUGCUUGUGCCCACAAAGCUCCACAUCAAACAGCACGUGGAGGUUAAAGGCAAGACUGAGCCCAAGUUCUGCCUAUGUAGAGCUGUAACAGUACCACUAAGGAGCUAGGCAAUGGGGACUACUCGAAAAAUUUCCCCAGCCAACUUAGACCAUCUUUGAGGCAGGGUAUUUUUGGGGUGACGGCAGGGGGAACACUGAGGAAUAUGCAUUUUAAACAAGUGCCAGUUAAAUCAGAUGCACUGGACAAAACCUCUAUGAUGGAAAACUUGAUGGAGGGAAGCAAAGAAAGGGUUCUCCAUGGAUGGGGUGCCAGGUGCUUGAUAGAAAGCAAUACCUCUUAAAGGAAACCAUGGUUGUGCAAGAGACCCAUUUCUUGGAUGGGCUUCUUCCUUCCCUUAAUAUAAUAUCACUGUCCCCAUCCACCCACACACGCGCAGGGGGAUCAAGGUACGCUGGUCAGGCACACAGUAGGUGGGCCGCUGAGGGCUUUGCAACAGCGAAAUCAUUCAUUGUCUGCCUCCAGCUCCUACCAAAGCUUAGCGCGGAGAGAUGAUCUCAGAGAGAUUUACCUACAACACAGUCUGUCUACCCACUCCAGAUAUCUUAAAGGAAAAGUCCAUUGAUCCCUGUGUCACUAGUCAACACACCCUAGAUUCAACCUCAGCAUUCUAUUUUUUUUCCCUCCACCUAUUCGGUCAACCAAAACUCAUCAGACUCCAUCUAUGUCAGGCACGUGCACAGAGCUGGAAAUCUAGGAUGCGUGGGAUUGCAUUUCUGUCUUAAAGGAGUUGAUAUUCUUGGAGAAUUCAGAAGCUAAGCAGUCACAGCAGCACACGGGAAACAAGGAUGAAUAAGCCAGAGUAUCCACUUCCAAGAAAUUGAGUCCAUUAGGGGAGAUUAGCAUUACGCAGCUGACUCUGGUACAAAAAUGAUACGUGUGAUAUUAACAAUGAUCCAGAGUGCAAUGGGGACACAGAGUUCAGAGCGGUCCGUUCUUCCAGAAAAGGCCCCACCCAGGAGUUGGUAUUUGAGUGCAUUGAGUGGAAGAGUAUCCUGGGCAGAGGGAACAGAGCGAGCUAAAGCGAGGGGCUGCAGGAAGAAUAUAACGUGUUCUAAGAGCCACACAACAAAGAGUUUGAAACCGCUGGAGGGUUUAUAGAAAGUGCUUCAGCACGAUCUUGGGGGAUGUCAACAGCUCUCAGCUGCCACCCUCCACCUCAUUUGGCACGCUCCCUGAGGCUGUGGCCUGUGUCCACCUAAUGGGCCAGUGCAACACCUGGCCGAGUGCCGAUGGCAUUGUGGGGCUUAAUGAAUUCCCUUUGAAGAUGAGAGGACUGUGAGGGAGAGAAGAAUUUGCCACUCAAGUGAGUCAACUGGAACGGAAGGUGUGUCUGGCUACUCAGGCCCAGCUCUCUGGCUAGUCAACCAGACAGCCCGGGCCACCUCCCCUGGGUCCAUGGGGUUCUACUAGGGAACAUCAAGUCUUUUUUAAGCAAGUAGUUCCUAAGCCACAGCACUUCUGGCUCAUCCUUGUAUUUGUAGUUUUACCAACAUAAGCUAUCCCAGAGCUAGGUCUCCGCCAUACCCAUUGGUUUCCUAGGGAGUGAUGGUAUAUUUAGGCUGCUUUUAGAGCACCAACACAGCCCAGCCUCCUGGGGAUAGCAUGGAAGGACAUGUAAGAGGCAGACUUAAAUGGUCCUGAGCUGUGUAGUCAUCCUUUUGGGUUCUCUGAGCUUCCUGUCCUGAGCUAAGGUUUUUCUCCUGGGGUUAGCCGAGGCACCAAGAGAUAAACAAAGCUUUAAAGGGACUCUCCCCAUUGGAAAGCUGCGCUGGAACCCAAGACGCUGCUUCACCCUACCUUCUGAUGAGUGUGUCCAGCCUUCCAAUGAGUACACCCCUGUGUAGACUCUCUGAGGUGUGUGUGGGGCAGGGGGAGAAAAGACCACACGAGCUUGAAACUUCUCUAAAAUGCCCUUCUUCAUACGUUGGGUCUACAAAAUGUCAAAACAGCCAGGUAAAUCACGCUAGGAUUCAUCAUGGCAGUGGGCAACCAGUCAACCCUGAUAUUUAACUCUGAGCCACCCAAACAACUCUUGGUGACUAAGGUUUUUUCCACUUACACCGGAUUCUUCUGCUUUCACCACACAAUUAUAUUAGCAAAUGAGAUCCCUGAGUAAGCAAAAUAGGCCCUUCACACACACAUUCCUUAGCCUACUACAGAUAAUUCAGAGUCAGGGAACAUUCAUUCACAUAAGCUUUUCAAAAUACACCUCCAAGCCAUUUUCACCAUGGAAUGGCUGUGAUCUCAAAAAUCAAGUGUGUGCAGAAGCAGGCAGCCAGUGGUUUGCAAGAGAAUGAGAACUGAGCAAUGAACAAAAUUAACACUUACAACUUAUGUAACCGGCAAAAGAUUAACACCCAGAAUAUGGGGGAAGGAGGAGGCCCCUGCACAUCCAUAAGAAGGAAAGACAACAGAAAUAAAUUGGCAGCCUUUAUGAACAUGCACAUCGCAGAAAAGGAAACGAUCCUUAGGGUACGGAAAGAUGUUCGACUUCGCUAAUAAUCAAAGAAAUGCAAGUUUGAAAAUUAAGAGAUGCCAUUUCACACCCAUCACAUUGGCCAAAAUUUUUAAAGUCUGAUGAUGUGAAGUGUUUAUGUGAAGAAUAUGAAACAACGGCAAAGCACAAAUGCACUGAUGAUAGAACUGGAGAGAAAUUUGGUAAUAUCCACCAAAUUUGAGACUACCUAUAUCUUAUCUCACAGGUAUUCCACUCUCAGAUAUACAACUGAGAGAAACUGUCUGUAUGCAAAGAGCUUUACACAGGGAUGUUCACUGCAUCAUUGUUUACAGGCGAGAAAAGAACUUUAAAGCUCCAUUAGUAGAGAAAUGCCCAAUAUAUUGUAACCCAUUCAUAAAAAAGGAAUAUGAUAUUGAAGCUAAAGUGAAUGGAAUGAAACCAAUGUACCAAUACAAUUGUAUCUAAAAUAAUAAUGCUGAGUGAAAAAAGUAAUUUGCAGAAUAAAUCGGUAUUAUGCCGCUUACG